Molecule: ribosomal RNA, 339 nt
Filed under: uncultured bacterium
Lineage: Bacteria
Description: bacterial SSU rRNA
Rfam family: Bacterial small subunit ribosomal RNA
Source: RNAcentral
GCUCAGGACGAACGCUGGCGGCGCGCCUAACACAUGCAAGUCGAACGAGAGAUGAGGAGCUUGCUCUUCAAAUCGAGUGGCGAACGGGUGAGUAACGCGUGAGGAACCUGCCUCAAAGAGGGGGACAACAGUUGGAAACGACUGCUAAUACCGCAUAAGCCCACGGCUCGGCAUCGAGCAGAGGGAAAAGGAGCAAUCCGCUUUGAGAUGGCCUCGCGUCCGAUUAGCUGGUUGGUGAGGUAAUGGCCCACCAAGGCGACGAUCGGUAGCCGGACUGAGAGGUUGAACGGCCACAUUGGGACUGAGACACGGCCCAAACUCCUACGGGAGGCAGCAGUA